Molecule: RNA transcript, 3337 nt
Organism: Peromyscus eremicus (cactus mouse)
Lineage: Eukaryota; Metazoa; Chordata; Mammalia; Rodentia; Cricetidae
Gene: Afg2a
Gene name: AFG2 AAA ATPase homolog A
Exons: 18
Source: RefSeq, a predicted model, not a curated record
CCUUCUCGCCCGGAGGAGGGCUGACCGUAAACUCUCGGAAAGUCUCACCAGACGCUAAGGUUGAGGUGGGCUUCCCGUUUGGCCCACUGCUCGGUGGAGUUGACCGUGGACUGUCUUCGGAGGCUCUGGCCGGAGGGGGAGAAACUUUCGAUUUGUUUUUCUACUUUAAGUGAACCGACACUUGCCUCGGGUCUAGGCAAAGCGGCGGAGCAACCGAAGUUCACUUUUCAGGAGUUCAUAACGUAAACGGAGGUUCCUAGGCCCCGCCCAGACUUCUUUAACAAAAGCGUCCUGAGACCCUCGCUAACCGACUCGGACUCUCGGGCUGCGCUCUACGUGGAGCAUUACGGCGCGCACCGAGCCGCUGACCUGUGACCCGGAAGUUUUCUCCCCGAGCCGCGCACGUUGAGCCGGCUUUGGGUCUGCCUUUUUCCGAUAGCCUGCAGUCAUGUCUUCCAAGAAGAACAGAAAGCGGCAGAAAGAGGGCGCGGAGGGCGCCUCGCCCUCGCUGUCUGCUGCUUCGUCUCGCUCGGGGACCCCGGCUCCUCUCGCCCGGCCGGCCGUGGCGGCGCCGGGGAUGCUGGUGGUCACCAACUUCCUUGAGAAAGUAGAUGGCAAAGUUCCUAAGACAUUCCAGAAUUCCCUUGUUCAUCUUGGACUUAAUACUAUGAAGUCUGCAAACAUUUGUAUAGGCCGACCAGUGCUCCUUACCAGUUUGGAUGGAAAGCAGGAGGUUUAUACAGCCUGGCCAGUUGCAGGAUUUCCUGGAGGCAAGGUUGGCCUGAGUGAAAUGGCACAGAAGAAUGUGGGUGUGAGAGCUGGCGAUACCAUCCAGGUCCAGCCUCUUUUGGGAGCUGUGCUUCAAGCUCAGGAAAUGGACUUGGCACUGAGUGACAAAGAUAAGGAAAUUAAUGAAGAAGAACUGACUGGUUGUAUUCUGAGAAAACUAGAUGGCAAGAUUGUUUUACCAGGCAACUUCCUGUACUGUACAUUCUAUGGACGACUCUGCAAGUUACAAGUGUUGCAAGUAAAAGGGACAGAUGGCACAACAUUGGGAAAACCUCAGAGUGCCUCUGCUGCUGAUAGCCAGGGCCUGGCGUCUGAACACUCCAGCAUGGAAAGCAGUGACGGGGAUAUAUCCUUCCAGCUAAGCCAGUUAGAUCUGAAAGAGCCUCAGAGCCCAGCAUCCCAGAGUACUCCCUGUAAAUCCGUUAAAGACAGAGUUAUGAAUAAAGCUGGUGAAGUUUUGUUAGAUGUUACACAGAGCCCCAGGGAUGGCAGUGGACUUGGACUAGAGGAAGUCACAGGUCCUAAGUGUAGUUUUGAUUCAUCCAGAGAAGGAAAUACACAGCCUGUCAAUGAAGAGAAACUACUGAAGUCUACCAGUGCAGGGGCAAAGAGGAAUACUGAUACUUUUUAUUUUAUUUCUUCGACAACAAGAAUCAACCUUAAAAAAAUUUGUACAAAUUCAAAAGAACAAGACAGCCAAUUCAAAGUAACUUAUGACAUGAUUGGAGGCUUAAACAGUCAGCUGAAAGCAAUAAGAGAAAUAAUUGAACUGCCUCUCAAGCAGCCUGAACUUUUCAAGAGUUAUGGGAUUCCAGCACCUAGAGGGUUGUUACUCUAUGGUCCUCCAGGCACUGGGAAGACAAUGAUUGCUAGGGCUGUUGCGAAUGAAGUUGGAGCUUAUGUUUCUGUAAUUAAUGGACCCGAAAUUAUAAGCAAAUUCUAUGGUGAGACUGAAGCAAGGUUACGCCAGAUAUUUGCUGAAGCCACCCUACGGCACCCAUCAAUUAUUUUUAUUGAUGAGCUGGAUGCACUUUGCCCUAAAAGAGAAGGAGCUCAAAAUGAAGUGGAAAAGAGAGUUGUAGCCUCACUCUUAACACUGAUGGAUGGCAUAGGCUCAGAAGGAAGUGAAGGACGGGUAUUAGUCCUUGGGGCUACAAAUCGCCCUCAGGCGCUAGAUGCUGCACUCAGAAGACCAGGACGAUUUGAUAAAGAGAUUGAGAUCGGUGUUCCUAAUGCCCAGGACAGGCUUGAUAUUCUCCAGAAGCUGCUCCGAAGGGUGCCACACUUGCUCACUAAAGCUGAGCUGCUGAGGCUGGCAAAUAAUGCCCAUGGAUAUGUUGGCGCAGACUUGAAGGCUUUGUGUAAUGAGGCAGGUCUGUAUGCCUUGCGAAGAGUCCUGAGGAAACAGCCUAAUCUCCCUGAUAGCAAGGUGGCUGGCAUGGUAAAAAUUACCCUGAAUGAUUUCUUACAAGGGAUGAAUGACAUCAGACCUAGUGCUAUGAGAGAGGUAGCGAUUGAUGUCCCAAAUGUAUCCUGGUCAGAUAUUGGAGGACUGGAAAAUAUCAAACUGAAAUUGAAACAGGCUGUGGAAUGGCCCUUGAAACACCCUAAGUCUUUCAUCAGAAUGGGUAUUCAGCCACCUAAAGGAGUUCUCUUGUAUGGUCCUCCUGGAUGCUCCAAAACAAUGAUAGCGAAGGCUUUGGCCAAUGAAAGCGGGUUGAACUUUCUAGCUAUAAAGGGGCCUGAGUUAAUGAAUAAAUAUGUUGGUGAAUCUGAAAGAGCAGUUAGAGAGAUAUUCCGUAAAGCAAGAGCAGUGGCACCUUCCAUUAUCUUUUUUGAUGAACUUGAUGCUUUGGCAGUUGAAAGGGGCAGUUCUUCAGGUGCUGGGAAUGUUGCAGACCGUGUUUUGGCUCAGCUGUUAACGGAGAUGGAUGGGAUUGAACAGCUAAAAGAUGUAACAGUUUUGGCAGCUACUAAUCGCCCAGACAGAAUAGACAAGGCUUUGAUGCGGCCUGGAAGAAUUGAUAGGAUCAUUUAUGUGCCCUUACCGGAUGCAGCAACAAGACGGGAAAUACUGAACCUACAGUUCCACUCAAUGCCAGUCAGUAACGAGGUUGAUCUGGAUGAACUCGUCCUCCAAACUGACACUUAUUCAGGAGCCGAGAAUCCCAAAUGAAGAUCAAGCCAGCUUCAUAGGAAGAUUUACUACAUCCUGGUGAGCAGACACUUCCUCUUUGCCUUGAAAGGACAAAACGAUGUUCAGCUGUCUGGGCUUGGGCCCAGUAUUUGAUUUAUACAUUAUUUAAUUUCCUCCUGAAAAUUGGAAGCAGGACUCUCAGGAAUGGAAAUCAUAGCUCUCUGCAAGGAGGCUGCUCUUCUGGCCCUGGAAGAAGAUAUUAAAGCUGACCGCAUUAUGAAGAGGCAUUUCACUCAAGCCUUGAGCAUUGUGACACCUAGAAUCCCAGAGUCACUGAUGCGCUUUUAUGAAGAUUACCAGGAGAAGAGUGGGUUACACACAGCCUAAGAAAUGCGUACUUAUAUGCAUAUA